Apodemus sylvaticus (European woodmouse) is the source of this 130-nucleotide small nucleolar RNA. RefSeq annotates it as small nucleolar RNA SNORA17. Lineage: Eukaryota; Metazoa; Chordata; Mammalia; Rodentia; Muridae. The record is from RefSeq and is a predicted model, not a curated record. The transcript has a single exon.
ACUUCUUGUGAGGCUCUGCAGGGAUGGCCUCUGUGUCACAUUGCAUCAGUAGGUGGCAGAGAGGAAAGAGUCUAUGUUUAUACUUAGUGUUCUAAUUUAUGAACAUCUAAAUGAUUAGUAGACUAACAUG